RNAcentral lists this ribosomal RNA (615 nucleotides) under Leptonia omphalinoides. Its description in RNAcentral is "partial small subunit ribosomal RNA". It matches the Rfam family "Bacterial small subunit ribosomal RNA", at positions 364 to 952 of the family's 1533-position model. The record is from RNAcentral. Lineage: Eukaryota; Fungi; Basidiomycota; Agaricomycetes; Agaricales; Entolomataceae.
UUAGUCAAUGCUCGCAAGAGUGAACUAGCUAACUGAAAUCACAGGAUCCGCUACGUGCGGUGAAUGUAAUAACGUAAGGGAAAAAAAUGAUAUUACCUUACUAUUAGUGUUGUCCAAAACUGGUGCCAGAAGACUCGGUAAGACCAGAGACGCAAACGUUAGUCGUCCUAAUCAGGCGUAAAGGGUAUGUAGGCUGUUUUAAAAGUUUUAUAUUUAAUAGCUAAUGUAAGAAAUAUAUUUUAAUUUUAAUUUUAAUUUUAAUUUUAUAUCUCUACAAAAUAAUAAGAUGAAUUAAAGCUAGGAUCAAAUUGAGGAUAAUAAAAAUAAUACCUAGUGUAGGGUUUAAAUCUGUUGAUGUUAGGUAGAGUACUAACGGUGAAAGCUUUUUAUCUAGAAAUGAUUGACGCUGAGAAACGAAGGUGAGAAUAGGAAAUAGGAUUAGAUACCCAGAUACCUCUCACAGUCAACGAUGAAUGGUGGUUGUUAGUUAGUUUUACUUAACUGAUAACGAUGUUAACACGAUAACCAUUCCGCCUUGCGAGUACGGUUGCAAAACUGAAACCAAAAAAAUUAGUCGGUCUCGAAGCAAACGAAGUGAAGCAUGUUAUUUAAUUC